RNAcentral lists this long non-coding RNA (588 nucleotides) under Malus domestica (apple). RNAcentral describes it as "long non-coding RNA (MDOM_LNC007007)". The record is from RNAcentral. Lineage: Eukaryota; Viridiplantae; Streptophyta; Magnoliopsida; Rosales; Rosaceae.
GAACCCUCGCCAUCGUCCACGGCUUCACCGGCGAGACCAGCUGGUUCGUCCAGCUCACCGCCGUCCACUUCGCCAAGUCUGGCUUCGUCGUCUGCGCCAUUGAUCAUCAGGGUCACGGCUUCUCCGAUGGCCUCGCCGCCCACAUCCCCGACAUCAACCCCGUCGUCGACGACUGCAUCUCCUUCUUCGACUCAUUCCGAGCCAAUCACGCGCCGAAGAACCGCCCCUCGUUCCUCUACGCCGAGUCCCUCGGUGGCGCCAUCGCACUCCUCAUGACUUUCCGGCAGGGAAGCGGCGCGUGGGAUGGCCUCAUCCUCAAUGGCGCCAUGUGCGGGAUCAGCCCCAAGUUUAAGCCGCCGUGGCCGCUCGAGCACCUGCUAUUUCUCGUCGCCGCGGUGAUACCGACGUGGCGGGUUGUCCCCACCCGCGGAUCGAUUACGGACGUGUCGUUCAAGGAGGAGUGGAAGCGGAAGCUGGCGCUGGCGAACCCGAGGAGGCCGGUGGCGAGGCCUCGCGCAUCGACGGCUCUUGAGCUGCUGAGAGUGUGUAAGGAGCUGCAGGGGAGAUUCGAGGAGAUGGAGGUGCCGG